Molecule: transfer RNA, 27 nt
Filed under: Kluyveromyces lactis
Lineage: Eukaryota; Fungi; Ascomycota; Saccharomycetes; Saccharomycetales; Saccharomycetaceae
Description: partial transfer RNA
Source: RNAcentral
UCCGAUAUAGUGUAMGGCUAUCACAUC